Molecule: long non-coding RNA, 450 nt
Organism: Perognathus longimembris pacificus (Pacific pocket mouse)
Lineage: Eukaryota; Metazoa; Chordata; Mammalia; Rodentia; Heteromyidae
Exons: 3
Source: RefSeq, a predicted model, not a curated record
AUGUACUCUUCUACCUGAGCUGACUUUGAACCCUGAUCUCCAGAUCUCAGCCUUCUGAGUAGCUAGAAUUGCAGUCAUGAGCCACCAGCACCCAGCUAAAAUCCUUCUCUUUGCUUAGAAUGUUUUUAUGGAAUAGAAUUAUUCAAGGACUUACUAUUAAUCUGUUUACCAAUGGUGCCAAAUAUAAGUGGCUUUGAAAAAUCUGAUCCAGAUUAUGUUGGUUUCCAAAUUGCAUUGUUCUCAAUUGACUACUCACUGGGAUCACUUGGCUAAUUAAAAAAAAAAAAGUCCAAUGGCUAUACCAAACACUAGAGUAAACCAUAGUCUCUUGUAAUCCACAGUUAUUUAUAUUGCAAGAAUUCUCUAAGAGACUCCCUGAUGUAGGCAAGGUUGAAAAGCACUGUUUUCAGAUGUUUUUUGAGAUUGAGAUCUUUUUGAGACUGAGAUCUG